UACGGAAGGCAGCAGUGGGGAAUAUUGCACAAUGGGCGAAAGCCUGAUGCAGCUAUGCCGCGUGUAUGAAGAAGGCCUUAGGGUUGUAAAGUACUUUCAUCGGGGAGGAAAACAAAACUAAUAAUUUUAUUUCUUGACGUUACCCGAAAAAGAAGCACCGGCUAACUCCGUGCCAGCAGCCGCGGUAAUACGGAGGGUGCUAGCGUUAAUCAGAAUUACUGGGCGUAAAGAGCACGUAGGUGGUUUUUUAAGUCAGAUGUGAAAUCCCUGGGCUUAACCUAGGAACUGCAUUUUGAAACUGAAAUACUAGAGUAUCGUAGAGGGAGGUAGAAUUCUAGGUGUAGCGGUGAAAUGCGUAGAUAUCUGGAGGAAUACCUGUGGCGAAAGCGGCCUCCUAAACGAAUACUGACACUGAGGUGCGAAAGCGUGGGGAGCAAACAGGGAUUAGAUACC
RNAcentral lists this ribosomal RNA (453 nucleotides) under uncultured bacterium. RNAcentral's name for it is "bacterial SSU rRNA". It matches the Rfam family "Bacterial small subunit ribosomal RNA", at positions 340 to 786 of the family's 1533-position model. The record is from RNAcentral.